AUUGAACGCUGGCGGCAGGCCUAACACAUGCAAGUCGAACGAGUCGAGGACGGGUGCGUAAUGUCCGGGAAACUGCCUGAUCGAGGGGGAUAACUACUGGAAACGGUAGCUAAUACCGCAUACCAUCGGAUGUGCCCAGAUGGGAUUAGCUAGUAGGUGGGGUAAAGGCUCACCUAGGCGACGAUCCCUAGCUGGUCUGAGAUGAUAACCAGCCACACUGGAACUUGGACACGAGCCAGACUCCGACGGGAGGCAGCAUUGGGGAAUUUUGCACAAUGGGCGCAAGUCUGGUGCAGCCAUGCCGCGGGUAUGAAGAAGGCCUUCGGGUUGUAAAGUACUGUCAGCGGAGGAGCAUUACCAACAGAAGAAGCGCCGGAUAACUCCAUGCCAGCAGCCGCGGUAAUAC
RNAcentral lists this ribosomal RNA (406 nucleotides) under uncultured bacterium. RNAcentral describes it as "partial 16S ribosomal RNA". It matches the Rfam family "Bacterial small subunit ribosomal RNA", at positions 30 to 526 of the family's 1533-position model. The record is from RNAcentral.